UCUCUUGUGGUCUAACGGCAGCGACGCCCGCCUUUGGAGCGGGAGGUUCAGGUUCGAAUCCUGGCGAGAGAG
RNAcentral lists this transfer RNA (72 nucleotides) under Actinoplanes awajinensis subsp. mycoplanecinus. It matches the Rfam family "tRNA". From Rfam's summary of the family: Transfer RNA (tRNA) molecules are approximately 80 nucleotides in length. Their secondary structure includes four short double-helical elements and three loops (D, anti-codon, and T loops). Further hydrogen bonds mediate the characteristic L-shaped molecular structure. tRNAs have two regions of fundamental functional importance: the anti-codon, which is responsible for specific mRNA codon recognition, and the 3' end, to which the tRNAs corresponding amino acid is attached (by aminoacyl-tRNA synthetases). tRNAs cope with the degeneracy of the genetic code in two manners: having more than one tRNA (with a specific anti-codon) for a particular amino acid; and 'wobble' base-pairing, i.e. permitting non-standard base-pairing at the 3rd anti-codon position. The record is from Rfam by way of RNAcentral. Lineage: Bacteria; Bacillati; Actinomycetota; Actinomycetes; Micromonosporales; Micromonosporaceae.